AAGACUAUAGACCUGCGGAGUACCUGCGGAGGGAUCAUUACCGAGUUUACAACUCCCAAACCCCAAUGUGAACAUUACCUUUACUGUUGCUUCGGCGGGAUCGCCCCGGGCGCGGCCGAGAGGCCCAGCCCCGGAUCCAACGUGCGCCCGCCGGAGGACCCCAGACUCCAUGUUUCUUGCAAGGUAUUUCUGAGCUGCUCCUAGCGAGCAAAACAAAAAAUGAAUCAAAACUUUUAACAA
This 240-nucleotide unclassified non-coding RNA is filed under the name soil metagenome. Its description in RNAcentral is "partial contains 5.8S ribosomal RNA, internal transcribed spacer 2, and large subunit ribosomal RNA". The record is from RNAcentral.